This is a long non-coding RNA of Lolium rigidum, 501 nucleotides long. RefSeq lists it as uncharacterized. The record is from RefSeq and is a predicted model, not a curated record. The transcript has 3 exons. NCBI's taxonomy places the organism in Eukaryota, Viridiplantae, Streptophyta, Magnoliopsida, Poales, Poaceae.
AACCAGCUUCAUUGUGGUUCAACUUCCCAGGCUGCUAGUCGUCCAUAUCAACCAACUGGUGGGAAUACUUAUUCAGCAAGAACUGAGGUUGGCAGUCUAGGGGCAUCACAUGUUCUAGCAUCAAACACUCAGCUGCCAACAGGCUCCACUUCUGGACAAUUUCUGGCUGAAGAUGGGUCUGAAUCAAAUCCAUUUACAAUUGAGUUGAGUCGAUUACAAAAGCUGCAUGAUCUGAUAGCAAAGAGACAUCAAGAGAAGCGAGAACAACUUAUUUUGGCACGUCAAGUAGAGAUAGCUCAAGCUAAAAAGAAGUAUGAAGAGCUGUUGUAUAAUUCAGAUGUGGAAGUAUUACAGCGAAGGAGAGAACUUAAGAUAACGAGUGAGAAAAUUUACAAACAGCAGAUACUGGCUGAGGUAUUACAGGUUAUAUAUAAGGCCUCUGCUAAAGUUGUUCCAGACAGUACAAGAGGUGCAGCCCAGAAAACAACAAGAGAGCCUAAC